AACCUGCUACUUAAUCGAUAAUCCACGUUAAAUUUCACUAUUAUUUAUAUCUUAUAUACCUCCAUCAAAAGAACUUAUUUUUAUAAUAUUAUUCUAAAAAGUUAUUUCUAAAAAGUUAGGUAAAGGUGUAGACAAUUUAAUAGAUUAUAGUGGGUUACUAUAAAUUUUAUUUAAGGACAACAAAUGAAAAUUUUUAGAUAAAAAGGAUUUAUUAGUAAAAUUUAAAUAAUUAUUAAAUUUGAACAUUAAAAUAAAUGUGU
Molecule: ribosomal RNA, 260 nt
Filed under: Clitaetra perroti
Lineage: Eukaryota; Metazoa; Arthropoda; Arachnida; Araneae; Nephilidae
Description: partial 12S ribosomal RNA
Source: RNAcentral